GAAACCAACAGGGAUUGCCCCAGUAACGGCGAGUGAAGCGGCAAGAGCUCAAAUUUGAAAUCUGGCCUCCCUUGGGGGGUCCGAGUUGUAAUUUGUAGAGGAUGCUUCGGGUGUGGCCGCCGUCUAAGUUCCUUGGAACAGGACGUCGUAGAGGGUGAGAAUCCCGUCUUGGGCGGCCGGUCCGCGCCCGUGUGAAGCUCCUUCGACGAGUCGAGUUGUUUGGGAAUGCAGCUCUAAGCGGGUGGUAAAUUUCAUCUAAAGCUAAAUACUGGCCGGAGACCGAUAGCGCACAAGUAGAGUGAUCGAAAGGUUAAAAGCACCUUGAAAAGGGAGUUAAACAGCACGUGAAAUUGUUGAAAGGGAAGCGCUUGCGGCCAGACUCGAGGGGCGGGGUUCAGCGGGUGCGCGUCACCCGUGCACUCCCCGUCCCCCCGGGCCAGCAUCAGUUUCGACGGCCGGUCAAAGGCCCCCGGAAUGUGUCGUCUCUAGGGACGUCUUAUAGCCGGGGGUGCAAUGCGGCCCGCCGGGACUGAGGAACGCGCUCCGGCUCGGAUGCUGGCGUAAUGGCCGUAAGCGGCCCGUCUUGAAACACGGACCAAGGAGUCUAACAUCCACGCGAGUGUUCGGGUGUCAAACCCGUGCGCGCAGUGAAAGCGAACGGAGGUGGGAGCCCUAGGGCGCACCAUCGACCGAUCCUGAAGUCUUCGGAUGGAUUUGAGUAGGAGCGUGGCCGUUGGGACCCGAAAGAUGGUGAACUAUGCCUGAAUAGGGUGAAGCCAGAGGAAACUCUGGUGGAGGCUCGCAGCGGUUCUGACGUGCAAAUCGAUCGUCAAAUUUGGGCAUAGGGGCGAAAGACUAAUCGAACCAUCUAGUAGCUGGUUCCUGCCGAAGUUUCCCUCAGGAUAGCAGUGACGAGAUUCCAGUUUUAUGAGGUAAAGCGAAUGAUUA
This 948-nucleotide ribosomal RNA is filed under the name Microsporum canis. RNAcentral's name for it is "eukaryotic LSU rRNA". It matches the Rfam family "Eukaryotic large subunit ribosomal RNA", at positions 61 to 1023 of the family's 3401-position model. Lineage: Eukaryota; Fungi; Ascomycota; Eurotiomycetes; Onygenales; Arthrodermataceae. The record is from RNAcentral.